This 649-nucleotide ribosomal RNA is filed under the name uncultured bacterium. RNAcentral's name for it is "bacterial SSU rRNA". It matches the Rfam family "Bacterial small subunit ribosomal RNA", at positions 8 to 694 of the family's 1533-position model. The record is from RNAcentral.
AGAGUUUGAUCCUGGCUCAGGAUGAACGCUGGCGGUAUGCCUAACACAUGCAAGUCGUACGAGAGUUUUUAACUCUAGUGGCGGACGGGUGAGUAACACGUGAGAAUUUGCCUUUAGGAGGGGGAUAACAAUUGGAAACGAAUGCUAAUACCCCAUAUGCUUUCGAGUGAAAUGAAUUUUUUAUUUGCCUAAAGAGAAGCUCGCGGCUGAUUAGCUUGUUGGUAAGGUAAGAGCUUACCAAGGCGACGAUCAGUAUCUGGUUUGAGAGGACGAUCAGACACACUGGAACUGAGACACGGUCCAGACUCCUACGGGAGGCAGCAGUGGGGAAUUUUCCGCAAUGGGCGAAAGCCUGACGGAGCAAUACCGCGUGAGGGAAGAGUGCCUAUGGGUUGUAAACCUCUUUUUUCAGGGAGGAAUAAAUGACGUGUACCUGAAGAAUAAGCAUCGGCUAACUCCGUGCCAGCAGCCGCGGUAAGACGGAGGAUGCAAGUGUUAUCCGGAAUCACUGGGCGUAAAGCGUCUGUAGGUGGUUUAAUAAGUCAACUGUUAAAUCUUGAGGCUCAACUUCAAAAUCGCAGCUGAAACUAUUAGACUAGAGUAUAGUAGAGGUAAAGGGAAUUUCCAGUGUAGCGGUGAAAUGCGUAGA